ACAAAGGCUCUUUUCAGAGCCACCCAAGCUUUCCGGAGAAGGGCGU
Cathartes aura (turkey vulture) is the source of this 46-nucleotide regulatory RNA element. It matches the Rfam family "Histone 3' UTR stem-loop". From Rfam's summary of the family: The mRNAs of metazoan histone genes lack a poly-A tail. 3' end processing occurs at a site between a highly conserved stem-loop (modelled by this family) and a purine rich region around 20 nts downstream (the histone downstream element, or HDE). Lineage: Eukaryota; Metazoa; Chordata; Aves; Accipitriformes; Cathartidae. The record is from Rfam.